Molecule: ribosomal RNA, 699 nt
Filed under: uncultured bacterium
Lineage: Bacteria
Description: bacterial SSU rRNA
Rfam family: Bacterial small subunit ribosomal RNA
Source: RNAcentral
AGAGUUUGAUCCUGGCUCACAACGAACGCUGGCGGCAGGCUUAACACAUGCAAGUCGAACGUGAAGCAGGAGCUUGCUCCUGUGGAAAGUGGCAGACGGGUGAGUAACGCGUGGGAAUCUACCCAGUGGUUCGGAAUAACGCAUGGAAACGUGUGCUAAUACCGGAUACGCCCUCCGGGGGAAAGAUUUAUCGCCAUUGGAUGAGCCCGCGUCGGAUUAGCUAGUUGGUGAGGUAAUGGCUCACCAAGGCGACGAUCCGUAGCUGGUCUGAGAGGAUGAUCAGCCACACUGGGACUGAGACACGGCCCAGACUCCUACGGGAGGCAGCAGUGGGGAAUAUUGCGCAAUGGGGGAAACCCUGACGCAGCCAUGCCGCGUGAGUGAAGAAGGCCUUAGGGUUGUAAAACUCUUUCAGUGGUGAAGAUAAUGACGGUAGCCACAGAAGAAGCCCCGGCCAACUCCGUGCCAGCAGCCGCGGUAAUACGGAGGGGGCUAGCGUUGUUCGGAAUUACUGGGCGUAAAGCGCGCGUAGGCGGGCUGGUUAGUUGGGGGUGAAAUCCCAGGGCUCAACCCCUGGACUGCCCUCAAUACUGCCAGUCUUGAGUUCCAGAGAGGUAAACGGAAUUCCUAGGGUAGAGGUGAAAUUCGUAAAUAUUAGGAAAGAACACCAGUGGGCGAAAGCGGGUUACUGGGUCCAUA